CCUACGGGCGGCAGCAGUGGGGAAUAUUGCACAAUGGGGGAAACCCUGAUGCAGCGACGCCGCGUGAAGGAUGAAGUAUUUCGGUAUGUAAACUUCUAUCAGCAGGGAAGAAAAUGACGGUACCUGACUAAGAAGCCCCGGCUAACUACAUGCCAGCAGCCGCGGUAAUACGUAGGGGGCGAGCGUUAUCCGGAUUUAUUGGGUUUAAAGGGUGUGUAGGCGGAAUAUCAAGUCAGCGGUAAAAAUUCGGGGCUCAACCCCGUCGUGCCGUUGAAACUGAUGUUCUUGAGUGGGCGAGAAGUAUGCGGAAUGCGUGGUGUAGCGGUGAAAUGCAUAGAUAUCACGCAGAACUCCGAUUGCGAAGGCAGCAUACCGGCGCCCAACUGACGCUGAAGCACGAAAGCGUGGGUAUCGAACAGGAUUAGAUACCCUUGUAGUC
This 439-nucleotide ribosomal RNA is filed under the name uncultured bacterium. RNAcentral's name for it is "partial 16S ribosomal RNA". It matches the Rfam family "Bacterial small subunit ribosomal RNA", at positions 338 to 795 of the family's 1533-position model. The record is from RNAcentral.